RNAcentral lists this ribosomal RNA (498 nucleotides) under Triticum aestivum (bread wheat). RNAcentral's name for it is "partial small subunit ribosomal RNA". The record is from RNAcentral. Lineage: Eukaryota; Viridiplantae; Streptophyta; Magnoliopsida; Poales; Poaceae.
AUGCACACAAAUGGUUUCUCACAAACUUCGACUGUUCCUUGUUAUGGGUUAAGAUCACUCAAGCUAUGGAUGGUAUUGAGGCUUUAUGGCGUGGAAAACCUGCAGAGCUAUAUCAGAAAGCACAUACAGUUGGCUAAACGGUUUGAACAACUUGUAUUAUCUGAUUCAAGAUUUGAGGUAGUAACUCCAAGGAACUUUUCCCUUGUGUGUUUCCGCCUUCUGCCCCCAACUUCGGAGGAUGACAAUGGCCGUAACCUUAACUACAGCCUAAUGGAUACCUGUAACUCAAGUGGAAAGAUCUUCAUAUCACAUACGGUUCUUUCCGGAAAAUUUGUCUUGAGAUUUGCCGUUGGAGCACCACUGACCGAGGAGAAACAUGUGGAUGCUGCUUGGAAGCUUUUGCAAGAUGAGGCCAGCAAGAUAGAUCUUAGGAAGUUCGUAGAUUAUAAAUGCAGAUGCUUAUUGAUUAAGCUCCACCAUUUAGGCCUAUUAUCUUGA